CGGGCGAGUUGUUGGUCCCCACACAUUUUCCAACUCUAUUUUUAGUCGGAAAUCGGACCAGCAGAUGAUACGUCGAGACUAUCGCUCUGAAGGCGUUUAGUCCGGGUCUUCCAAGUAUGACGUUGUAAGCCAAAGACACUUGGACGACCGUGAAAGUUAAAUGGGCAGUGCUUUGUUGUGGCUCGGUUCCAGCCGUCAUAGGGAGGGUAAUUUUUCCUUCCACUGCGACGGCGUCUCCGGUGAAACCUACCAGGGGCGUAGAGACUU
Molecule: long non-coding RNA, 267 nt
Filed under: Elaeis guineensis (African oil palm)
Lineage: Eukaryota; Viridiplantae; Streptophyta; Magnoliopsida; Arecales; Arecaceae
Description: long non-coding RNA (EGUI_LNC075520)
Source: RNAcentral